GCAUGACAAAUAAACAUAAUCACCUUAUAAACAUUAUACAUGACAUGAAUAGCUAGACUUACAAGCCAUAAUCAAUAUGAGCCACAUCCCAUGGCCAUAUACAUAUAACUCAAUAUAAGCCAACACAUUUGGCCAAAGCAAAAUAAUACAUGUCAACAACCUAGAUCCUUAUAUAUGCCACUCACUUGAAAUUUCUAAUAUAUGCUUCAUUAUUCCAAAGAUAGCGACUUGAUAGUGUGAUGCUGCCUCCGAUGAUCUCUAACCUCGAGCUAACCUGACAAGCUAAGAGAAAUAGAAAAGAGGCAGUAAGCUUCACGCUUAGUAAAUCCAUAUGAAAAUAAUAAUUAAUUUAUCAAUAUGCUUUCAAUUUAUCAAUAUGCUUUCACCAAUUCUUACAACAUCAUCUCAAGGAAAUAUUGUCAUUAUUGCCUUUUUACCUAUGUUCAGGUCAAGCUGUUUUCUCGAGUCACAGUCACUAAAUUAUUUAUAUCUAGAGUUACAGAACUCCAAAUUAAUAUCCAUUAAUUUUUACUGAAACUAGACUCACAUAUAUUCUUACCAUAAAAUUUUCUGAAUUUUUGGUUCAGCCAAUUAGUACAGUUUAUUUUGUAAAGUCACCCCUGAUUUGCUGCCCAACAGCUUCAACUAGUUUUUACUAAAAAUUAAUUAUCUCCUCAUAUGGAACUUGAAUGAUGUUCAUAUUUAUUUAUCCUAAAAAUAGACUUAUUAAGGAAUCUAGACAUAUAAAUUAUAACCAUAAUUAUUUUUUUACAAUUUUUGAUGAUUUUCCCAAAUCAGAAUAGGGGAUUUUGAAAUCGUUCUGACUAUGUCUCGUACAAUUUCAAAUAUCUCAUAAUAUGAAAUUCUUUUGCUUACACCGUUUCUUCUAUGUACAACUAGACUCAAUAAUCUUAAAUUUCAUAUAUUAUCCAGUCUCUAAUUCACUUUCUACUAUUUUUGGUGUAUUUUCAAAGUCAGACUACUACUUCUUUCCGAAACUAUUUUAUUACUAUAUUUCACUCUUUCAUGAUUAUUUUUAAAUGGGAAUUUAUACUAAUCCAUUUCUCCUUUCAUGUUCAUUAGGCCACCAAGUAAAGGAAUAUACAUUUCAUGUCUUAAUUUAAUGUAGCCUCAAAGUCUCACACAUAAUCAUUAAUCACAUUUCAACCAUCAUGGUUAGAAUACAUAUAUGUACAUCAUAAACAUAAAACCAUAAUCACAAGGUCACCACAAUUUCAUUUUCAUAGGCAUAACUUACUUAUUUGUAUCCUUACCAAAGGUGCAUUGUUUCAUUUUCGCAAUAGCAUUUAAGCUUCGAAUACAUACUUGCACCUUUUCAGCAUGCUCAAAUAUUUACCUUUUCGCUUUCAUCGCAAGCUUUGAACUAUCCGUUGAACCACUUGGAAUACCAGAGGAUAAUCGGGAAAUCUUACACAUAUCGAUGCCAAUGCCAUAUCCCAGAUAUGGUCUUACACUGGCUCUUACAUAUCCAUGCCGAUGCAUGUCCCAAACAUGUCUUACACUAGCACAUCUCGUAGCCGAUGCAUGUCCCGAACAUGUCUUACACUGGCUUACAUCUCGAGGCCGAUGCAUGUCCCAGACAUGUCUUACACCGGCACUCAUCUCAAUGCCGAUGCCAUGUCCCAGACAUGGUCUUCCACUGGCUUUCAUAAUAUGGCCGAUGCAUGUGGCAGACAUGUCUUGCACUGGCUCACAUAACAGCAGUGUCUCGAUGCCCGUAUCCUAGGUAUUUUCAAAGGUCCAACCGGGAUUUCUCAAGGGUCACAUCAUAGCCAAGCUCGUUCAAAGAAUUGAUCAUACAAUUCACAAGGUUCGUCACUAUAAGAACUUUCAGUUCAUUUCUUCAUUUUAUAAUUUGCUCAUCUCAGCAAGAUAUCAUAUUUCAUAAAUUUCCAAUAUUUCAUAAAUACACAAAGUGAAAUCGACAUAUUAAGCUUUCGAUUAUUUCAUAGGGUAUAAUAUUUUCUCAUACACCCUAGCACUAACACAUAAUUCAAUACAAUAAUAACAAGGAGAUUUUCAAGUAUAACAAUAAUAACAUUAAUAGCAUGCUUAUUAAAUCACAUGGACUUACCUCGAAUGCAAUUUCGGCUAAUUACGCCAUUUUAGUCCAUAACCUUGUUCUUUCCGAUUUAAGCCCAAAUCUUGAUUUUCUUGAUCUAUCAUGAUGAAAUUCACUCAUUUUAUCAUUACAUUAAUUAAAAAAUUAUUUAAUUCACAAUUUGGAAAAAUGACCGUUUUGCCUUUAGACUUUACAAAAAUUACGAUUUUGUUCUUAGGCUCAUAAAUCAAUUUUUAUCGAAUUUCAUCCUUUACCAAGCCUAGCCAAAUUCUUUUCAUAGUUAUAGCAACUCAAAAUUUCAAUUAUUACACACAUUUACAUCCUAUUUUACAAACAUUACAAAAUGGUCUAAUUUAGGUGUUUUUCAUGAAUAGCCUUUCACAAAAGUUAUUUAUUUAACAACUAAGAUUCAUUUUCUUCCAUAAAAAUUCAGCAAAUAACAUAAAUAUUCACAUGAAAAAACCUUAGACUUUCAACCAUUUUGCAAAAUAAUCUCCCCAUUAGAUAGCUCAUGCUACAAGGAUUCCAAAAAAUACACAAAUUAUCAAGAAUGACUAAGAAAAUCACUUACUUGCAAAGGGUUUAAGUUGCUGAAAAUUUGAGCUUCAAAACCCCAUUUUCUCUUGUGUUUUUCGGUGGAGAAAAGAUG
Molecule: long non-coding RNA, 2732 nt
Filed under: Gossypium barbadense (sea-island cotton)
Lineage: Eukaryota; Viridiplantae; Streptophyta; Magnoliopsida; Malvales; Malvaceae
Description: long non-coding RNA (GBAR_LNC004225)
Source: RNAcentral